Molecule: ribosomal RNA, 253 nt
Filed under: uncultured bacterium
Lineage: Bacteria
Description: partial 16S ribosomal RNA
Rfam family: Bacterial small subunit ribosomal RNA
Source: RNAcentral
UACGAAGGGGGCUAGCGUUGCUCGGAAUUACUGGGCGUAAAGCGCACGUAGGCGGUCUUUUAAGUCGGGGGUGAAAUCCUGGAGCUCAACUCCAGAACUGCCUUCGAUACUGGAGAGCUUGAGUCCGGGAGAGGUGAGUGGAACUGCGAGUGUAGAGGUGAAAUUCGUAGAUAUUCGCAAGAACACCAGUGGCGAAGGCGGCUCACUGGCCCGGUACUGACGCUGAGGUGCGAAAGCGUGGGGAGCAAACAGG